Molecule: transfer RNA, 77 nt
Filed under: Planctomycetota bacterium
Lineage: Bacteria; Pseudomonadati; Planctomycetota
Description: Planctomycetes bacterium (activated sludge metagenome) tRNA-Lys
Rfam family: tRNA
About the family: Transfer RNA (tRNA) molecules are approximately 80 nucleotides in length.
Source: RNAcentral
GCCUCCUUAGCUCAGUUGGUUAGAGCGGUGGAUUCUUAAUCCAUAGGUCCUAGGUUCGAGUCCUAGAGGGGGUACCA